UUGGAGGGCAAGUCUGGUGCCAGCAGCCGCGGUAAUUCCAGCUCCAAUAGCGUAUAUUAAAGUUGUUGCAGUUAAAAGGCUCGUAGUUGAAUUUCGGGAUUGGCACAUCGGUCGUGCCUUAAGGGGCAUGAACUGGUGUAGCCAAUUUCUCACCUUCUGGAGAACCGCGAUGUCCUUAAUUGGGUGCCGCGAGGAACCAGGACCUUUACUUUGAAAAAAUUAGAGUGUUUAAAGCAGGCAUUUUGCUUGAAUACAUUAGCGUGGAAUAAUAAAAUAGGACGGAUGAUUCUAUUUUGUUGGUUUCUAGGACCACCGUAAUGAUUAAUAGGGAUAGUUGGGGGCAUUAGUAUUCAAUUGUCAGAGGUGAAAUUCUUGGAUUUAUUGAAGACUAACUACUGCGAAAGCAUUUGCCGAGGAUGUUUUCAUUAAUCAAGAACGAAAGUUAGGGGAUCGAAGACGAUCAGAUACCGUCGUAGUCUUAACCAUAAACUAUGCCGACUAGGGAUCGGAUGAUGUUAAUUUUUUAAUGACUCAUUCGGCGCCUUACGGGAAACCAAAGUGUUUGGGUUC
RNAcentral lists this ribosomal RNA (570 nucleotides) under uncultured Glomeromycotina. Its description in RNAcentral is "SSU rRNA". It matches the Rfam family "Eukaryotic small subunit ribosomal RNA", at positions 548 to 1114 of the family's 1831-position model. The record is from RNAcentral. Lineage: Eukaryota; Fungi; Glomeromycota.